This 223-nucleotide unclassified non-coding RNA is filed under the name plant metagenome. RNAcentral describes it as "partial contains small subunit ribosomal RNA, internal transcribed spacer 1, and 5.8S ribosomal RNA". The record is from RNAcentral.
GUCUCCGUAGGUGAACCUGCGGAGGGAUCAUUACAGAGUUCAUGCCCUCACGGGUAGAUCUCCCACCCUGUGUUAUUAUACUUUGUUGCUUUGGCAGGCCGCCCGCGUGGGCUACCGGCUCCAGCUGGUAAGUGCCUGCCAGAGGACCCCAAACUCUGAAUAUUUUAUUGUCUGAGUACUAUAUAAUAGUUUAAAACUUUCAACAACGGAUCUCUUGGUUCUG